RNAcentral lists this long non-coding RNA (550 nucleotides) under Homo sapiens (human). Its description in RNAcentral is "non-protein coding lnc-DMGDH-1:3". Lineage: Eukaryota; Metazoa; Chordata; Mammalia; Primates; Hominidae. The record is from RNAcentral.
AGCCCGCGAGCGGCCGCGCUCCCGACUCUCCUUCCUUCCGCGCAGCCUCCAGUUCCCCGGGGCUGGAGCCGGCUGUCGGCUGGUUGCCGGCUCCGAGGGCGAUGAGAGUGGCAGGUGUGCCCUGCUGCACAGGUGGCCUCCGAACCCGGGAAAAGAGGAACUAAGGCGGAGGAACUGAGACGUUUCGAAUUCCAGAUGGAGUCUGGCUCUGCCGCCCAGGCUGAAGUGUGGUGCAAUCCCAGCUCACUGCAAUCUCCGCCUCCCGGGUUCAAAUGGUUCUCCUGCCUCAGCUUCCCAAGUAGCUGGGAUUACAGGCUGGAGUGCAAUGGCAUGAGCACAGCCCACUGAAGCCUCAACCUCCCGGGUCAAGCAAUCCUCCCACCUCAGCCUUCCUAGUAGCUGGGACUGUAGGUGUGCACCACCACGCCUGGCUAAUCUUUGUAUUUUUUGUAGAGAUGGGGUUUUGCCAUAGGCUGUUUUCUUCUAUUCUAUGGUUCUCAUAAUACUACUUUGUAACAAGCCAUUCUAAGAUUUAAAGUGAUGCAAAAAC